This 291-nucleotide small nuclear RNA is filed under the name Oryctolagus cuniculus (rabbit). Its description in RNAcentral is "7SK RNA". It matches the Rfam family "7SK RNA". From Rfam's summary of the family: 7SK was discovered as an abundant small nuclear RNA in the mid-70s but a possible function has only recently been suggested. Two independent studies have found that 7SK RNA binds the CDK9/cyclin T complex (known as elongation factor P-TEFb). The record is from Rfam by way of RNAcentral. Lineage: Eukaryota; Metazoa; Chordata; Mammalia; Lagomorpha; Leporidae.
AAAUGUGAGGGCCAUCUGGCUGCGACAUCUGUCACCCCACUGAUCGGCAGGGUUGAUCCGGCUGAUCUGGCUGGCUGGGAGGGUGUCCCCUUCCUUCCCCACCUCUCCACAUGUGUCCCUCCCCCCUCCCGCAGCUGUGUGUUGGGUCAAAGAGGACUUUCCCCACUGGGGGAGGAACUAUCUUCGGUCAAGGGUAUGGGAGUAGCUGCACUCCCCUGCCGGAACCUCCAAACAAACUCUCAAGAAACAGGUACUUAACCAAAUGCACUGACAUCCUAAAUCCAUCUUUUA